AUAAUGCUAACAUUAAAUAGAUGUUGGGGCAUUCAACAAAUGUGGUGCGUGCAACAACAAAUUAAAGCAGGUGGAUAACCAAUUGCAUCACCAAGACUAAUGGACCCAAAAAAGGUUUGCUCAAAAUUUGAUGACCAUCAUUCACAUGUCAUCAAAUGGAGCAGGCAAUGGCAGCCAACCAAAACAACAACCAGCACAAAUUUAUGUACAACAACCAAGCAGGAUGAGAGAUAUAAAAGCAAUAAAAUAAUCCAAACUCUUUAUAUGAAGAAGCAGAUAACUAGUCUUAGCAUCUAACGAAAUAAGCCUCCGAAAAACAAAACGCCCAGCAAUUAGAAAGCAGAGAAGGCGAAGAUGAAGAGGGAGGCUGAGAUUCACCAAUUAAUCUGUAACUAAUAAAUCAAAAUGGCUGCAAACGGUUGCCUGCAGAACAACAGCAGCAGACCAUCCAAGAUUGCAUCGCCGUCUAGAGAAUAGCCACUUUCUUCUCAAAAUGUAGCUUGUAUAGAAGCCAAAAGCAAUUCUGCUCUCCGAAUUUGAGAAACAAAGAAGAAAAGAAAAGCAAAAGAGAAAGAAACAUAAACAGAAAGAGAAAAAGAUAACAAGAAGCACAACAUUGCAGCCAUUAUCCACCCGAGAGUCCAAGAACAAGUAGAAGGAGAAGAAGAAAGAGAAGACCAACCAAUCUUGAGGAAGAGAUCUGGAAGCCGACCUAGGAAAAAGAUCCCACACUGUCUUCUUCUCGUCCCACUAUCUAACAAAUGCUUUUUGUCUGCGGAACAGCAGACCUUCCAGAUCUGCUCGCCCUAUCGCUGCUGAAGGAGGAGGCAUGCAAAGAAGAUGAGAAGAAGAACAAUCCCUUCCAGAAAUGCCUCACCUAUUACUAGAGAAGCUGACAUGCAAAGAAGAGAAGAAGAGCAAUUUUACAAGUCAUCCAUCAUCGCCUCAAUAUACGUACAUACACAAAAAAAAGAGAGGAGAAGAUUCCCCUACUCUUCUCCUCGGGUGAUGACCUCUGCAACUUACAACGGCUACAAAUCAAAAUCCGUUCCAGGUCUGGGGGAUGGCAGAGUUUCCAAGCUCUCAUUUGUCGCAAUUCGUUAAAAGGAAAUAAAAAUAAAGAAUGAUGAAGGAGAAAGGAACAAAGAGAAGAAGAUCAAAACCCUUGUUACCUGUAGUUACUCAAGUAGUUCCCUUGAAUGUUAUAAAAACCUAAUGUCAAGCAAUACAACUCCAAGUUUUCCAACAGCCUGAAUAGCAAUUUGAGGGUUUGGGUUCUUGAAACUCUAAUUUGCUAUGAAUUCUUUGGCGGCAAUACUAAUCAUAGUAAAGAAAUUCAAAAAACCCUAGAAAAAAGAAUAUUGAAAACAAAAAAAAACUAGGAUUAGAAAGCAGAGAAGGUGAAGAUGAAGAGGGAGGCUCAGAUUCACCAAUUGAUCUGCAACUAAUAAAUCAAAACGGCUGCAAACGUUUUGAUCUUGCCUGCAGAAGAACAGCAGUAGACCAUCCAAAUUGCCUCGCCGUCAAGAAGAUAGCCGUUUCCUCUCAAAAUGUAGCAAAACCCUCGUUCAAGAAUCAUCACAGCCUCCUUCUAUAGAACCCAAAAGCAAUGCCGCUCUCCCAAUUUGGGAAACAAAUAAAAAGAACAAAAGCGAGAGAGCAGAAACAUAAACAAAGAAAGGGAAAAAGAUAACGAGAAGCACCACAUCGUGGCCAUUAUCCAACCUGGGAGUCCAAGAACAAGGAGAAGGAGAACAAGAAAGAGAAGACCAACAAUCUUGAGGAAGAGAACUAGAAGCCGACCUAGGGAAAAGAUCCCACUGUGUCUUCUUCCCCUCCCCCAUCUAACAAUGGCUGCUGCUAGCUAAUGAAGAAAGAAGGAGGCGGAGGCAUGGAAAGAAGAGGAGAAGAAGAACAAUCCCUUCGCAAGCUGCCUAUAAUCAUUGCCUCAACAUACGAAAGGAAAAGAAGAGGAGAAGGAGGAGAAAAAGCCGGAGAAGAAGAAGAAAAGAAAAAGGGAGAAAGAGAGAGAGGAGAAGGUUUGUGCGAAGGGAUGGGCCUCUAUUUAUAGUUAUAGGCCUGCCAAUUAGAGCCGUUAUACCCGUUAUAAGCUUGCUUACGUCUUAAACGAUGGGGUUAUACAAUCUGAAGCAUCAAAUAAACAUAUUCACUGAUAAAUUUUUGCAUGACUCAAAAUUGUAUCCCCUAGUCAGUUCGCAGCGCCAACUCAGAGCCCACGGAUAAAUCAAAUCGAUUAGAAUCGGCUCAUAGUUGAUCAAGCCCAAUCUGCAUACAUUCACAGAAAGCUUAUAUUGAACAUUUUUGCAACUACACGUGAGAUGAUCUCUCGAGCCGAUUUCUGUAAAGCAUUUGAUUGUGUUAGUUGGGGCGUCGCUUCAAUUUGAGAGGCUUUAACUCUAAAUGGAUGGAAUGGAUUAAAGCUGCUGUUUGUCAUGCUAAAUCUUUGUUCCUUGUUCAUGGAGCUCAGAGAAAAUGGUUCGGACAUUGAAGGGGGUUGAGACAAGGUGAUCCACUUGGUUGCUCAGUUUAGUUGUUGGAAUGAUCAAGUUGGCAUCUGAAAAUGGAGUUAUCCCUCUAUCCUCACAUUCUCAUUCAUAAAAUUUUCAUUGUCGAAUUUGCAAACUACACCUUCAUCAUCUGCAAAGCUGAUGAGCUUUUAGCUUCAACUCUUAAGGUGAACCUUUAUCACUCAGAGCAAACCCGUAUCCAUCCGGACAUGAUAUUGCCACCCCUACUAUAUGCAUACGUAUUCCUAAACACAAUCUUUUAUUUGCAAAGAAGCUCCUUUUGAUGGGGACAUCAGGGACAUCAGAGCCCUUCGUUCAGAUGAUCCUGAGCCCCCGGAUUGACUCAAACCCGGAUUGGGUCCAUUUGAGUCCGAGUUAUUUUCUUUUAUUGCAUUAUUUGUUUUUGUUUUAGUCAAGUCAAUUUGGUCCGUUAUUUUGUUAUUAGACUGGUCAAUUGGGUUUAUGUAAUUGGGUCAAUAUGUAAGGUCUAUAUAAAGACCACCCCUCUCAUGUAUGAGGGAAUUGAUGAUUGAAUGAAAAAACCCUAGCCUCUUUCUUAUUCUUCUUCUUCCUCCUCCUCCUCUUCUCUUCUUCCGGCAUCUCUAUAACCUCUUCUUCCUUCUUCCUCCCUUGUUCUUCCUCCUUCUUUUCCUCUUUUCCUGCAGUUGUGCUACAUCAGCUUGGUAUCAGAGCCAGGUUGGCUUUGCCCCUGCUGCCAAAGCCAUGAUCCAGUUUUUGUUCUCCUCCCUCUCUCUCUUUCGGUUUUCACCCCUGUUCCCUUUCUCCCGGCUCUCACACGAAGAAUAGGGAAAACACCUUCGUCGAUUCGCCACGCACUCACCCCCUUGCUCACAACUCCCAAUCCCACCCCCUCUCAGCCGACUCACACCACCACCCCGUAGGGAAGUAGGCCACACUUCCCUCCCUUUCUCUCAGCUCCUACCAGAACGAAAGGGGAAAAUCCCCGUCGCCGGAUCCUUUCCACCCGCCGUUGCACCCAUGCCCAUUGCCACCACCAGGUGCCGCUAGCAACGCCAAACCACCGUCGGUCGCCCAUGCCGCUGGUAUCAAACCUCAUGGAAUCGCCGCCAGCAAACCCGAGAAUGCCGCCCUUCCGCGUUCGAUCCCGCCUUCGCUGUCACCAGCCCCCUUCAACCACGGCCGCCUUCACCGCCACUCGCCGGCCGAAACCCGUGACCAGCCGUCCCGUCGCCGCAAAGCCGCGGCCAGGAUCUCCGCUCCAGCCGCAAGCGCCGCCGCAAAGAGUGGCACGCCCUUCCGAAUCCGUCGAGAGGUUGAAGAAAACCAACCUAACGGGUAAGAUCCAAACCCGUUACCCGUUUCUCUGUUAGCCCGGAUCCAUCCCCAAAAAAAAAGCUACGCACGUGACUUGCACAUGAUGGACGCUUAAUGGGUUUUCGGAGCGGGUCACGCCCGAUAACCCGAAUCCUAAUGGGUCUGAGUUGAAAAAAAAGAUAAAAAAAAGAAAAGACAAAAAAAACUUACCUUUGUUCAUCUUCCCUAACCGCACGCUGCGCCGCCGCCCUCGUAGCGCCGCUCCGCCCGUGCCGCCGCCGUCUUCGCCAUCGCCAUUCCCGCCUUCGCCGCCCCGCACUCACCAUCGCCGCCUCACGCUCUUGCCCGUGCCCACCGCCCGAACCCCAUCGCCAUCUCCCCCCCCCAGCCUUCGCCCUCGCUUCCGCCUCCACCCGACACCACUGACCGGACCCAAGGGAAUCUCCCCUGCAGCGCCGCUUCCACCGUCGCCAUCCGCUGCUUCGCCACCCGAGAGCGCCGCCACCUUUUUCCCCUCCACUGCUCUCCAUCUCCUCCUUUCCGCCACUGCGACCACCACCUCUUGGAGGCCUCAUCUCCGGCCCUCACCCUUUCCCCUUUGUUUCCUCCCCACCCCACACACACCUUGACUCCCGAUGGCCCAUCGGAUCCAACAACAAGCCGACACCACCAUAAUACCAGACCCCUCCCCUUUUCUUUAUUCAACAAGCCCAACUCACAAGUCCAACCCGCCACUUCAAAGCCCACAUGGCCGACUCUCUGUUUGUCCGAUUCUGAGCCUGACAGGCCCAUUUUCACAGCAGGCCCGACGAGUUGCUGCGCACGGAUCUAAUUGGAGCCCUUUGACGAGUCUACUUGCUGCGCCGCGCUUUUGGUCGUCGCCCUUACUUUCAAACCCAUCAUAUUUGCCCUUUUAAAAUCUAGAUAUUAAAUUAGCACACCCUAGCAACUGGAUGUUUCUCAAUAUUCUUCGAUCAGAUUGAUUUAGGAUCAGAAUAACUGUACUACUUGAUUGCAAUUUAAUUUCUUAAAUUGAAUAAUCUUAAUCCUUAAUUCCGAAUAACCGAAGUAAAAAUCAGCAACAUUUAAACUUUAUGUUAUUCUUGUGAAAACUUGCUGAUAUCUGAAAUCAUAAUAGAUUUCAUUAAUAGGUUGUCCUGCAUCAAAUUUGGUCCUACAUCAUAUCUAUUAGGGUUUCAUUAGUGGCAUUGCAUUUCACAUCAUCACCUAGUGUCGUCAUUGUAUGCCAACCCGUAGUGAUAGGGAGUACUAUUUCAAUCAACCUAAAACUCCUGUAGCUACCAUGAAUUCCGACAUUUUGAGGUCUCUCAUAGAACAACUCGAUGCCAUGCGGGCUAGCACGAGGAAUUCAAACAAGAGAUCUGUGAGCUCAUGCGAAAUUCUAGAAUCCCUAAACCACCAACCCCCAUUGCAGCCCAACCUAAAAUCGAUUUGACGGCACCACUUAUAGUCCUUCCCCAUCCCCUAGUAACCAACCACCUCCCGAUCAUCAACGCAAUCUAGAUAAGAGGCUGCUGCGUACCGUAAGAGUAGAGGCCCCUACCUUUGCUGGUCAACCCGAGCCAAGCGUGUAUCUCGAUUGGAGAGCCGCUAUAGAUAAUUACCUUAAGUGGAACGAGAUGACUGACGAUAAAAAAGUGCGAUUUGCCAAAAUGAAACUUAUUGGGCAAGCUCACUGAUACUGGCAUAAUGUCGAACAUAUGUAUGAGACCCAAAGGCUUCCUCGUAUAACUACAUGGGAGGAUAUGAAAGAAAAGCUAAAUGAGAAGUAUCUGCCAUUUUCGUACCGACAACGCCUUAUGGUAGGUGGCAGAAACUAACUCAAGGGACAUCGACGGUUGCUGAUUACAUCGCACGAUUUGAGGAGUUUCAUAUGAAGUGCGGUGUAAUAGAAGAGGAGACCCUUACCCUCUCUAGGUUUCGGACAGGACUCCGCGAGGAGAUACAGAAAGAACUACUCCUCCGAGAGAUUACCACUCUUAACCAAGCAUACCAGUUGGCCCAAGAUGUUGAUAGUUUCUUAAGACUACCCGUGGUGAGGCCCAUCGAUCCUCGACCACUAGCCCUAGGAGCCCGACCUAACCAAAAUUAUCUCUCACAACCUAGACCGUUUUUCAAUCCUCUUAAUCAGCCCGGCCUAACCCAAGCACUGACUAGCACCUCUCCGAUGCCUGUCCCGAACCCUUCAACUGAUAAGAAAAAAGGAAUAUUAGGUUCCAAACCUCCUUCUCGAAACCAAACCCAAUGCUUUUGGUGCCAAAAGUCCGACCACAUUGCAUCCCAAUGCCUUGCCAAGACUUACCUGAUUACUGAACCAAAAGCUAGGAUCCAAGAGACCGAAUAUAUCGAAGAAGUCUAUGAACCAAAUAUAGGAGACUAUAUAGAAGACUUUGAAGACGAACCCACAGAAUUAGACUUUGUCCAAAAUGUUUUUCAAAGGAAGACUAUUGAUCUAAGUACAACCAAGCCACUUCACAUCAAUACUAUCGAAGAGGUAGUGAAAGAUAUUGAGAGCCAGUCACCUGAGUUGGCACUUGUAGCUAAAGAUACCCAUGCGGAGUCCAAUCUUGAACAUUCCCUGGUAGUAGUUUCCCUUCUAGAGGAGUUUCAUGAUGUAGUCCUUGAUGAUCUUCCGGAUGCACUUUCUCCAAUGCGUGAUAUCCAACGCGCAAUUGAUCUAGUUCUCGGAGCAUCUCUAUCCAACCUUCCACAUCAUAGGCUCAGACCGAAUGCAUAUGCUAGGACCUGAAAUUUAAUGUUACCGACAGUUGAGUUUGCAUAUAAUAGUUCGGUUAACAAGUCCAUAGGUAUGAGUCCAUUCGAAGUGGUGCAUGAUUACAAACCUAGGCAACCCAUAGACCUAUUUUUUAUGUCUCAUCAGCAUAGAGUCUUUGAGUCUGCACAAUCAUUUGCAUCGCAUCCACAUUCAUUGCAUCAAGAAAUCAGCAAUUGUAGUCACUUUGAUAACUUAAAAUAUAAAUCCCUUGCUGAUUUACGCAGACGUUAUAAAGAGUUAAGUGAAAGAGAUCACGUCAUGAUAAGAAUUAGGCUUGAACGACUUUCUUUGAAAACGUUUAAGAAAUUGCAAACUUGUAGUGCGGAACCGUUCCAAAUCUUAAAGAAAAUUAGUUCGAAUACAUCGGAUGUCUGCGAAACAGCAGACAUUCAAAAGCUGCUCGCUCUACCGCUACCGAAGACGACAUAACCGCCAACCCGCACCAAACUAUUUCAUCCACAGCUUAAGAGUUUAGACCAACAGUGACCAACAAACAUUAUCCACCUUGAAAGGCUUGAUCAUAUCAUGACAGGAAGAGGCGACAAAAGCACAGAAAUUACUAUAAUACAUCCAUGAAAACACUAAAGUUUUAUGUGUGUCUCAGUCACAGUGGCAAAAACAGCAUACAGAACCACAUAAUGCCGACUUUAAAUUGAUGUUCAGGCAUUCCACAAAUGUGGUGCUUGCGACAACAAAUUAAAGCAGGUGGACAACCAAUUGCAUCACCAAGACUAACGGACCUAAAAGAAGUUUGCUCAAAAUUUGAUUAACAUCAUUCACAUGUCAUCAAAUGGAGCAUGCAAUGGCAGCCAACCAAAACACCACCAGCACAAAUUUANCUACAACAACCAAGCAGGAUGAG
RNAcentral lists this long non-coding RNA (7483 nucleotides) under Phoenix dactylifera (date palm). RNAcentral's name for it is "long non-coding RNA (PDAC_LNC011006)". Lineage: Eukaryota; Viridiplantae; Streptophyta; Magnoliopsida; Arecales; Arecaceae. The record is from RNAcentral.